CCUACGGGAGGCAGCAGUGAGGAAUAUUCGUCAAUGGCCGGAAGGCUGAACCAGCCAUGCCGCGUGAAGGUCAGUGCCCUAUGGGCGUUAAACUUCUUUUGUGCGGGAGCAAUAAUGGUCACGUGUGGCCAGACGAGAGUACCGUACGAAUAAGCAUCAGCUAACUCCGUGCCAGCAGCCGCGGUAAUACGGGGGAUGCAGGCGUUAUCCGGAUUUAUUGGGUUUAAAGGGUGCGUAGGCUGUGAGGUAAGUCAGCGGUGAAAUGCCCCCGCUCAACGGGGUGAAGUGCCAUUGAUACUGGCUAGCUGGAAUGCGGAUGCCGUGGGAGGAAUGUGUGGUGUAGCGGUGAAAUGCAUAGAUAUCACACAGAACACCGAUUGCGAAGGCAUCUCACGAAUCCGCGAUUGACGCUGAUGCACGAAAGCGUGGGUAUCAAACAGGAUUAGAUACCCUAGUAGUC
RNAcentral lists this ribosomal RNA (460 nucleotides) under uncultured bacterium. RNAcentral's name for it is "partial 16S ribosomal RNA". It matches the Rfam family "Bacterial small subunit ribosomal RNA", at positions 338 to 795 of the family's 1533-position model. The record is from RNAcentral.